This 205-nucleotide long non-coding RNA is filed under the name Lathyrus oleraceus (garden pea). Its description in RNAcentral is "Pisum sativum (pea) long non-coding RNA (PSAT_LNC036253)". Lineage: Eukaryota; Viridiplantae; Streptophyta; Magnoliopsida; Fabales; Fabaceae. The record is from RNAcentral.
AAAAUCUAAUAGUCAUGGAAUGGCAAGUAGUGGCAAUGUCUAAACAAUCAGUGUAGGUGGAUAGAUUCAUGACCAGAUGAAAUGGUCAUGAGGAGGAAAGAAAAUGAAUGAUUGAUGAUUUUUUUUUUCAGGACCAAAAUCAGGGUAUGACAGUUGCCCCUAUUUAAACAUCCUCCACCAGAGGAAAAUGAAAUAGCACUUUUCA